Molecule: long non-coding RNA, 509 nt
Organism: Pseudophryne corroboree (corroboree frog)
Lineage: Eukaryota; Metazoa; Chordata; Amphibia; Anura; Myobatrachidae
Exons: 3
Source: RefSeq, a predicted model, not a curated record
UUUGCGUCUGCUCUCUAUGGUGAAUGAAUACUGUUUGCCACCAGUUAUGAUAGUGGCGCCCACACUGCACUUCCAGCUGCACGUGCCCUUCCCCUGCUCCGGAGAAGCCCAGAUCGCUCACGACACAUUGUGCCCGGACGCAGAGCCCAGGAAAGGAGGCGUCAGCAAGACAUUGAGCAUCACAGACAACGUUCUCCAUGUACACUGGCAAGCAGAUGAAGCCCGCAUCCUCCGAGUGUCCGUCAGCUCUUUCCUGGAGCACCUCUCACUUGUGGUCCAGACAAUGGACAGAUUCGGCCCUGCAGUGUCCGACUCCUGGCGCCCUAUACAGGCACCUUGCUGCGCUGAUGACGAGUCCUUCUGUUGGUUGACAUCCUGCAAAGUACAGCAGCCUGCUGAGAUGUAACGCCAUUGUCAGCACCUAGUAGCACAGAGACUCUUUCUUGUCUCGUUCCAUUUAACCAAAUCUCUGACUGUUUACCACUGUUUCUCUGACGUCCUAGUGGAUG